RNAcentral lists this ribosomal RNA (468 nucleotides) under uncultured bacterium. Its description in RNAcentral is "partial 16S ribosomal RNA". It matches the Rfam family "Bacterial small subunit ribosomal RNA", at positions 28 to 507 of the family's 1533-position model. The record is from RNAcentral.
GACGAACGCUGGCGGCGUGCUUAACACAUGCAAGUCGAACGGAAAGGCCCUGCUUUUGUGGGGUGCUCGAGUGGCGAACGGGUGAGUAACACGUGAGUAACCUGCCCUUGACUUUGGGAUAACUUCAGGAAACUGGGGCUAAUACCGGAUAGGAGCUCCUGCUGCAUGGUGGGGGUUGGACAGUUUCGGCGGUUGGGGAUGGACUCGCGGCUUAUCAGCUUGUUGGUGGGGUAGUGGCUUACCAAGGCUUUGACGGGUAGCCGGCCUGAGAGGGUGACCGGCCACAUUGGGACUGAGAUACGGCCCAGACUCCUACGGGAGGCAGCAGUGGGGAAUAUUGCACAAUGGGUGGAAGCCUGAUGCAGCAACGCCGCGUGCGGGAUGACGGCCUUCGGGUUGUAAACCGCUUUCGCCUGUGACGAAGCGUGAGUGACGGUAAUGGGUAGAGAAGCACCGGCUAACUACGUG